RNAcentral lists this long non-coding RNA (207 nucleotides) under Carica papaya (papaya). RNAcentral describes it as "long non-coding RNA (CPAP_LNC001808)". The record is from RNAcentral. Lineage: Eukaryota; Viridiplantae; Streptophyta; Magnoliopsida; Brassicales; Caricaceae.
AUAACGCGCACAGACGGCCCAGAUUGCAUCGCGUAUGGACGGCCCAGAUUGAAUCGCGAUGAACGGCCUAGAUUCAUUCUCUAUUUAAUCGCGAUCAGACGGUCUAGAUUAAAAGCGAUGGAUGGCUCAGAUCAAAAGUGAAUGGGUAUAAAUAACCUCAUCCGCACCCAAACCCUAACCCUAGCCGCGAGAGCCCCUCACCGGAGA